UCUGGGAUUAGAUACCCCACUAUGCCUGGCCCUAAAUCCUGAUGUUUAUAAUAACCAAAACAUCCGCCCGGGUACUACGAGCACAAACGCUUAAAACCCUAAGGACUUGGCGGUGCCCCAAACCCACCUAGAGGAGCCUGUUCUGUAAUCGAUACCCCACGAUACACCCGACCACCCCUUGCCAAAAAUCAGCCUACAUACCGCCGUCGCCAGUCCACCUCCCAUGAAAGUCCCACAGUGGGCACAACAGUCAACUUC
This 258-nucleotide ribosomal RNA is filed under the name Tyto alba (common barn owl). RNAcentral's name for it is "partial 12S ribosomal RNA". It matches the Rfam family "Bacterial small subunit ribosomal RNA", at positions 771 to 1112 of the family's 1533-position model. Lineage: Eukaryota; Metazoa; Chordata; Aves; Strigiformes; Tytonidae. The record is from RNAcentral.